This 75-nucleotide transfer RNA is filed under the name Patescibacteria group bacterium. RNAcentral describes it as "tRNA-Ile". It matches the Rfam family "tRNA". Rfam says of the family: Transfer RNA (tRNA) molecules are approximately 80 nucleotides in length. Their secondary structure includes four short double-helical elements and three loops (D, anti-codon, and T loops). Further hydrogen bonds mediate the characteristic L-shaped molecular structure. tRNAs have two regions of fundamental functional importance: the anti-codon, which is responsible for specific mRNA codon recognition, and the 3' end, to which the tRNAs corresponding amino acid is attached (by aminoacyl-tRNA synthetases). tRNAs cope with the degeneracy of the genetic code in two manners: having more than one tRNA (with a specific anti-codon) for a particular amino acid; and 'wobble' base-pairing, i.e. permitting non-standard base-pairing at the 3rd anti-codon position. The record is from RNAcentral.
GGGCAUGUAGCUCAAUGGUAGAGCGCUUAACUUAUAAUUAAGUGGUUCUGGGUUCGAAUCCCAGCAUGCCCACCA